UAUACUUUAGUGUAAGGAUGCACGGGGAUUUUUGAUUUCUCAGGAUUGGUUUAAUUCCAUAUGGUAUAA
Molecule: transfer RNA, 69 nt
Filed under: Dolycoris baccarum (sloe bug)
Lineage: Eukaryota; Metazoa; Arthropoda; Insecta; Hemiptera; Pentatomidae
Also listed under: 2 other names
Description: tRNA-Gln
Source: RNAcentral